GCGCUCGUAGCUCAGCUGGAUAGAGCAACGGCCUUCUAAGCCGUAGGUCGCAGGUUCAAGUCCUGCCGGGCGCGCCA
RNAcentral lists this transfer RNA (77 nucleotides) under Tamilnaduibacter salinus. RNAcentral's name for it is "tRNA-Arg". It matches the Rfam family "tRNA". From Rfam's summary of the family: Transfer RNA (tRNA) molecules are approximately 80 nucleotides in length. Their secondary structure includes four short double-helical elements and three loops (D, anti-codon, and T loops). RNAcentral also lists the same sequence under 1 other name. Lineage: Bacteria; Pseudomonadati; Pseudomonadota; Gammaproteobacteria; Pseudomonadales; Marinobacteraceae. The record is from RNAcentral.